GAUGAACGCUGGCGGCGUGCCUAAUACAUGCAAGUCGAGCGAACAGAUGAGGAGCUUGCUCCUCUGACGUUAGCGGCGGACGGGUGAGUAACACGUGGAUAACCUACCCAUAAGACUGGGAUAACUUCGGGAAACCGGAGCUAAUACCGGAUAAUAUAUUGAACCGCAUGGUUCAAUAGUGAAAGACGGUUUUGCUGUCACUUAUAGAUGGAUCCGCGCCGCAUUAGCUAGUUGGUAAGGUAACGGCUUACCAAGGCAACGAUGCGUAGCCGACCUGAGAGGGUGAUCGGCCACACUGGAACUGAGACACGGUCCAGACUCCUACGGGAGGCAGCAGUAGGGAAUCUUCCGCAAUGGGCGAAAGCCUGACGGAGCAACGCCGCGUGAGUGAUGAAGGUCUUCGGAUCGUAAAACGCUGUUAUUAGGGAAGAACAAAUGUGUAAGUAGCUAUGCACGUCUUGACGGUACCUAAUCAGAAAGCCACGGCUAACUACGU
RNAcentral lists this ribosomal RNA (496 nucleotides) under uncultured bacterium. RNAcentral describes it as "partial 16S ribosomal RNA". It matches the Rfam family "Bacterial small subunit ribosomal RNA", at positions 28 to 506 of the family's 1533-position model. The record is from RNAcentral.